Molecule: transfer RNA, 72 nt
Filed under: Bos taurus (domestic cattle)
Lineage: Eukaryota; Metazoa; Chordata; Mammalia; Artiodactyla; Bovidae
Also listed under: 5 other names
Rfam family: tRNA
About the family: Transfer RNA (tRNA) molecules are approximately 80 nucleotides in length. Their secondary structure includes four short double-helical elements and three loops (D, anti-codon, and T loops). Further hydrogen bonds mediate the characteristic L-shaped molecular structure. tRNAs have two regions of fundamental functional importance: the anti-codon, which is responsible for specific mRNA codon recognition, and the 3' end, to which the tRNAs corresponding amino acid is attached (by aminoacyl-tRNA synthetases). tRNAs cope with the degeneracy of the genetic code in two manners: having more than one tRNA (with a specific anti-codon) for a particular amino acid; and 'wobble' base-pairing, i.e. permitting non-standard base-pairing at the 3rd anti-codon position.
Source: Rfam by way of RNAcentral
UCCCUGAUGGCUCAGACAGUAAAGCAUCUGCCUACAAUGCAGGAGACCUGGGUUCAAUCCCUGGGUUGAGAA